RNAcentral lists this ribosomal RNA (519 nucleotides) under uncultured Glomus. RNAcentral's name for it is "SSU rRNA". It matches the Rfam family "Eukaryotic small subunit ribosomal RNA", at positions 569 to 1090 of the family's 1831-position model. Lineage: Eukaryota; Fungi; Glomeromycota; Glomeromycetes; Glomerales; Glomeraceae. The record is from RNAcentral.
AGCAGCCGCGGUAAUUCCAGCUCCAAUAGCGUAUAUUAAAGUUGUUGCAGUUAAAAAGCUCGUAGUUGAAUUUCGGGGUUAGUAGGUUGGUCAUGCCUCUGGUAUGUACUGGUCUCACUGAUUCCUCCUUCCUGAUGAGCCGUAAUGCCAUUAAUUUGGUGUUGCGGGGAAUUUGGACUGUUACUUUGAAAAAAUUAGAGUGUUUAAAGCAAGCUAACGCUUGAAUACAUUAGCAUGGAAUAAUGAAAUAGGACGUUCGAUCCUAUUUUGUUGGUUUCUAGGAUUGACGUAAUGAUUAAUAGGGAUAGUUGGGGGCAUUAGUAUUCAAUUGUCAGAGGUGAAAUUCUUGGAUUUAUUGAAGACUAACUACUGCGAAAGCAUUUGCCAAGGAUGUUUUCAUUAAUCAAGAACGAAAGUUAGGGGAUCGAAGACGAUCAGAUACCGUCGUAGUCUUAACCAUAAACUAUGCCGACUAGGGAUCGGAUGAUGUUAAUUUUUAAUGACUCAUUCGGCGCCUAC